CGUUUUACAAAAUACAUGGAAAAGCUCUUCUUUUAUAGUUGAAAUUUAUCAUUUCAUUUCUCAAUUGAAUUCAUAUUUUAUCCUUUACGCUUGAAAGCUUUUUACUAAUCACUCUGCAAUGAAAGUGCCGUCCACUGGAGAGUACCUGGACUCUGUGUUUGAAGAUCUCUGUCUAAGAAAUUCACCAUAGGAAUGUGAGCUACAUCUGGCAUGACCUCAGUUGGUGUCAAGAUUUCAAAAGCCCAUGUAAUACGUCACACAUUCCUGACUCAAAAUCCUUGCCUACCAUGUAAAGGGGUUUGCACGUUACAAAGAGCCUGGAAGAAACGGCCGGGGCACACUCUGAAGAUUUCCCUAAAAUGAAGCUCUCGGUAAGAUAAAAGAACGCCUGCCUCUUUCAUCACGGACAUGUAGAGAGAGAGUGGAUCUGGAAAACAAAUUUAUACUUUUUCUGGAAAUGGGAAUCACUCAUAAAACACUUCAUGAGUUCAAGGUCCCCUUGUUGCCAUUGUGCCUCCUAUUCAUAUGGACUGUGAACAACCCAGAGGUAGUUGGACUAGUGGCAUGUUAUUGGAUGACUCUGCUUCAAAUUUGAAGAAUUUAUGAAAACUCUGAGUGCCAGACAAAAAUAGACAUUAAAAGGGUGAGAUUAAUAUUCAGCAAUCACAAUGUAUAAUUAAAGAGAAAAUGAAAUGAACUGUUUAUGCAGGCAUAGUGAGUUGCUUUAAUAUCACAAUAGACCUGAAAGUCUGUGGCAAGUUUUAAAGAUUUUGCUCAGAAGUGUAGAGCCCCUCUGAGGUGCUCUCACAAG
RNAcentral lists this long non-coding RNA (811 nucleotides) under Canis lupus familiaris (dog). RNAcentral's name for it is "lncRNA (ENSCAFG00805000841.1, ENSCAFG00845022846.1)". Lineage: Eukaryota; Metazoa; Chordata; Mammalia; Carnivora; Canidae. The record is from RNAcentral.